UUUAUAUGUUAUAAAUAGACAAAAUCAUUUUUAUUUGUUUCGUGCAAAUGAAGAAAAGUAUAGUUAAAAUUAGCAUAUUUGUUUAUGUGAUCUUUUUUCUUUACCUAUUUAUUUUUGCAACGAACAUUAAUGCUAUUUCUGAAUGUGAGGAAGACAUAGAUUGUCCAAGAACUUGGUGUUUUGGGCAGUUUUUUGUGAAGUGUAUUACUAAUGAAUGUAUUUGUGUUCAUGAGGAUAGAUUACUUCCACGAAUUCCUUGGGAUCCAUGGAUCCCUAUGAUAUAAAUGAUAAAUGUUAUUCAAUGAGUGGUCAUUUAUUGAUUAAUCACAUCCUUGUUAGACAUUAAACCUUACUAGAGAAUAAAUUGGGAUCCCAUGGAUCCGUAGGUAAUGAAUGAUUCAUUUGUUUUGUUCAUGAGGAUAAUUUAUGCUGAUAAAUUCGUUGGGAUCCAUGGAUCACUAGACAAUAAAUUCCAGACAAUAAAUAUUUCUUCAUAAAUAAAUGAUUAUGUUAACUUAUACCUAAAUGGCAGAUGAAUCCAAGCACUACAAGAAACAAGUCUUAGUAUUAUUUGAUCAAUUUGUAGUAAAGUUGGACAAUUGGUCAGAAUCAUCCGGAAAAAAACAUAAUUUGGGGAAACUGACGGUUGAUAUAUCAUCGCCCGUUUUCGAUCAUUUGAGUACGUAGAUUGGUUAGUUUUCAGGUUGAACGAAGAUUGGUGUGGACGGGUGGAUUGUUUCGCUUGAGAAUUCAAACAA
This is a long non-coding RNA of Medicago truncatula (barrel medic), 758 nucleotides long. RefSeq lists it as uncharacterized. The transcript is spliced from 2 exons. NCBI's taxonomy places the organism in Eukaryota, Viridiplantae, Streptophyta, Magnoliopsida, Fabales, Fabaceae. The record is from RefSeq and is a predicted model, not a curated record.